CUGGAAAAGCAUUCAAAUUCUCGCGCCCACACUUAUCGGCUGUCGUUGACGACAGUGAGUGAAACGUGAACCGACGGCGUACCGCGCCAGGACCAAGUUGCGCUGCUGCCGCAGCCCUUCGCGCUUCACCGAAGGAUGCGCGAUAGGGUCUGUAGCUCAGUCGGUUAGAGCACCGUCUUGAUAAGGCGGGGGUCGUUGGUUCGAAUCCAACCAGACCCACCAUCGAGCCAUCGGGGGUGUAGCUCAGCUGGGAGAGCACCUGCUUUGCAAGCAGGGGGUCAUCGGUUCGAUCCCGUUCACCUCCACCAUGAUGUGUCGUCGGACGCUCAAGCUGCUCAUGGCGGCUUGAGCGCCCGAUCGAUUGAUCGGCUGUCGUUCUUUAACAAUUCGUAGAGUCGAAUCAGCGUCGCCGACGGCGUGCCGCAAGGUGCCCAACUAGUCGGCGACAUGUGAUUGCGUCACCAAACUUCAAUCGAGUCAGGUUGAAGAACGGCAUAACGUGAUACUCAAAUCAGUCCUUGACGAUGUCCGGCGUCAGCCGGCGUCAGAGUUAUAGGGUCAAGUGACUAAGUGCAUGUG
This 579-nucleotide transfer RNA is filed under the name uncultured bacterium. Its description in RNAcentral is "16S-23S ribosomal RNA intergenic spacer". The stretch from base 146 to 219 matches the Rfam family "tRNA". The record is from RNAcentral.